GCAGACACGCUCUGUUCUUCGCUGAGCACUCCAGCCUAGGACUUUUUCUGUCUGCUACAUUAACAUGCAGAAUGUAACACUUUACUGGCUUUGUAAAAGGCUAGUGUUGGUAUGUUCUGCGACAUUUCA
Small nucleolar RNA from Acanthochromis polyacanthus (spiny chromis), 129 nucleotides. Lineage: Eukaryota; Metazoa; Chordata; Actinopteri; Pomacentridae. The record is from Ensembl.